This 1516-nucleotide long non-coding RNA is filed under the name Homo sapiens (human). RNAcentral describes it as "HSALNT0315030". Lineage: Eukaryota; Metazoa; Chordata; Mammalia; Primates; Hominidae. The record is from RNAcentral.
CACUGGCAAGGAGGUGGUAGCAGGAAAUAGGCAUGUGGUGACUUCAGUAACAGAGACGACUGCAGGGCUGACCUAAGCUUAGUAGCCUGGCUUCUCCGGGAGCUGAGGGUGAGCAUCAUGCCUGCUCCAUCUCCCUCUUUGUUGUGGAUAAGGCAGGGUCAUCAAGACAGGAGGAUAUGAGGCAGAAUCACCACACAAGCUAACCUGAUGUACAUAUGACAUUAAUCCAAUAGACUUAGGAAUAAGAUACAGGGGGUUUUCCUGAAUGAUUCGAGUAUAUCCCCAUUCAUAUUAAGAAAACAAAGUAUUGGCCAAGCGUGGUGGCUCACGCCUGUAAUCCCGGCACUUUGGAAGGCCGAGGCCAGUGGAUCACCUGAGAUGGACUCAACGACUCUCUUACCGUCCAGCUCUCAAGUCCCUUCUCUUGUGAAAAUGGAAAAGUUGAACUACAGUUGAGAUAUUAUUCCCAGGUGUUCUUUGGAACACAGGGGAUUUCUCCAAAAGGCACAGAACAAAUUGCCUCCAAACAGCCAAGAUUCCAGCAGAAGCUGGAGUAGCAGACUACUUGGAUCUUCAAAGUACCUGGCCCUGAGUCAGUUAAGGAAGAUCUUUUCUUCUCUUUUGUACAAUCCUAUGAUGAGAGCUGCAAAGUGAACUGACUAAGAGCUUCUGCCUUGAUCAUUGACCUCCCAAUCCUAAUAAUAUGUUCACUGGCCAAACUUCCUAAUCGAUUUGUCUUUUGGAUAUAACGUUCCUCCUACUGUUUGCCUGAUUGAGAAAUCUGCUACAGAACAUGACCGGUUAGCAUUCCCACCAACCCCAGUGCUACACUGACUGUCUUUCGAUGGACUUUGCUCCUUGCUGCCUCUCUGAGGUCCCAGACCUUCAGAGUGACCUUCACAGCUCUGCCUAACUUUCUGUCAUACUUCUAUCAAGAGAGACAGCUAAAUCAAUAUUUUUAAUGUGCUUUGCUGUCGGAAUUCGAUGAUCUGUCACAGUUCUUGCCCAAUACACCCCAUCAUUAUUGUUAAAAUGUUUUUAGCUUUGUUUGUAGAAUUGCUUUAACUGGUUUCAUCUCUGGGAGCUACACUUUGAAAUAUAACUUUAGCAACAUUUUACUAUACUUUUUCACAACCCAGAGCAGUACUAUUUUAUGCUUAGUGGUUAAACUAAUUCCAUAAAUCUUUUGCAACUAUCCUCUAUUCUUUUUCUUGUAAUUUUUACCUGGGAAGGUUUUUACUGAUAAUCAUCCUAUCCUGAGUCAUCCCACAAACCAAUCUGUCUCACUAAUCAUUGCUUCUAACCUACAGACUAAGCAUAACUUCUGCUAAAUGAUCUUUGAUAAGAUGCUAUGACUCUAUAAAGUCUUUGAUAUUCAUGUCUAAAUUUAAUCACUUGUAGAUUUUCAUAGAAUCAAUCUUUCACUUCUACAAUUGGGAGUAUUUAUAAGUUGUUUAUCUUAAACAGUUCCUCUAUCACGCUUUUCACGUUAAAUAAAGCAAUCCCUUCAAAUCAA